AGCGCAUACGGUGGAUGCCUUGGCAGUCAGAGGCGAUGAAAGACGUGGUAGCCUGCGAAAAGCUUCGGGGAGUCGGCAAACAGACUUUGAUCCGGAGAUCUCUGAAUGGGGGAACCCACCUAGGAUAACCUAGGUAUCUUGUACUGAAUCCAUAGGUGCAAGAGGCGAACCAGGGGAACUGAAACAUCUAAGUACCCUGAGGAAAAGAAAUCAACCGAGAUUCCCUUAGUAGUGGCGAGCGAACGGGGAUUAGCCCUUAAGCUUCAUUGAUUUUAGCGGAACGCUCUGGAAAGUGCGGCCAUAGUGGGUGAUAGCCCCGUACGCGAAAGGAUCUUUGAAGUGAAAUCGAGUAGGACGGAGCACGAGAAACUUUGUCUGAACAUGGGGGGACCAUCCUCCAAGGCUAAAUACUACUGACUGACCGAUAGUGAACCAGUACCGUGAGGGAAAGGCGAAAAGAACCCCGGAGAGGGGAGUGAAAUAGAACCUGAAACCGUAUGCGUACAAGCAGUGGGAGCCUACUUGUUAGGUGACUGCGUACCUUUUGUAUAAUGGGUCAGCGACUUAUAUUCAGUGGCAAGCUUAACCGUAUAGGGUAGGCGUAGCGAAAGCGAGUCUUAAUAGGGCGUUUAGUCGCUGGGUAUAGACCCGAAACCGGGCGAUCUAUCCAUGAGCAGGUUGAAGGUUAGGUAACACUGACUGGAGGACCGAACCCACUCCCGUUGAAAAGGUAGGGGAUGACUUGUGGAUCGGAGUGAAAGGCUAAUCAAGCUCGGAGAUAGCUGGUUCUCCUCGAAAGCUAUUUAGGUAGCGCCUCAUGUAUCACUCUGGGGGGUAGAGCACUGUUUCGGCUAGGGGGUCAUCCCGACUUACCAAACCGAUGCAAACUCCGAAUACCCAGAAGUGCCGAGCAUGGGAGACACACGGCGGGUGCUAACGUCCGUCGUGAAAAGGGAAACAACCCAGACCGCCAGCUAAGGUCCCAAAGUUGUGGUUAAGUGGUAAACGAUGUGGGAAGGCUUAGACAGCUAGGAGGUUGGCUUAGAAGCAGCCACCCUUUAAAGAAAGCGUAAUAGCUCACUAGUCGAGUCGGCCUGCGCGGAAGAUGUAACGGGGCUCAAACCACACACCGAAGCUGCGGGUGUCACGCAAGUGACGCGGUAGAGGAGCGUUCUGUAAGCCUGUGAAGGUGAGUUGAGAAGCUUGCUGGAGGUAUCAGAAGUGCGAAUGCUGACAUGAGUAACGACAAUGGGUGUGAAAAACACCCACGCCGAAAGACCAAGGGUUCCUGCGCAACGUUAAUCGACGCAGGGUUAGUCGGUUCCUAAGGCGAGGCUGAAAAGCGUAGUCGAUGGGAAACAGGUUAAUAUUCCUGUACUUCUGGUUACUGCGAUGGAGGGACGGAGAAGGCUAGGCCAGCUUGGCGUUGGUUGUCCAAGUUUAAGGUGGUAGGCUGAAAUCUUAGGUAAAUCCGGGGUUUCAAGGCCGAGAGCUGAUGACGAGUCGUCUUUUAGAUGACGAAGUGGUUGAUGCCAUGCUUCCAAGAAAAGCUUCUAAGCUUCAGGUAACCAGGAACCGUACCCCAAACCGACACAGGUGGUCGGGUAGAGAAUACCAAGGCGCUUGAGAGAACUCGGGUGAAGGAACUAGGCAAAAUGGCACCGUAACUUCGGGAGAAGGUGCGCCGGCUAGGGUGAAGGAUUUACUCCGUAAGCCCUGGCUGGUCGAAGAUACCAGGCCGCUGCGACUGUUUAUUAAAAACACAGCACUCUGCAAACACGAAAGUGGACGUAUAGGGUGUGACGCCUGCCCGGUGCCGGAAGGUUAAUUGAUGGGGUUAGCGCAAGCGAAGCUCUUGAUCGAAGCCCCGGUAAACGGCGGCCGUAACUAUAACGGUCCUAAGGUAGCGAAAUUCCUUGUCGGGUAAGUUCCGACCUGCACGAAUGGCGUAACGAUGGCGGCGCUGUCUCCACCCGAGACUCAGUGAAAUUGAAAUCGCUGUGAAGAUGCAGUGUAUCCGCGGCUAGACGGAAAGACCCCGUGAACCUUUACUGUAGCUUUGCACUGGACUUUGAGCCUGCUUGUGUAGGAUAGGUGGGAGGCUUUGAAGCGUGGACGCCAGUUCGCGUGGAGCCAUCCUUGAAAUACCACCCUGGCAUGCUUGAGGUUCUAACUCUGGUCCGUGAUCCGGAUCGAGGACAGUGUAUGGUGGGCAGUUUGACUGGGGCGGUCUCCUCCUAAAGAGUAACGGAGGAGUACGAAGGUGCGCUCAGACCGGUCGGAAAUCGGUCG
Molecule: ribosomal RNA, 2292 nt
Filed under: Pseudomonas aeruginosa
Lineage: Bacteria; Pseudomonadati; Pseudomonadota; Gammaproteobacteria; Pseudomonadales; Pseudomonadaceae
Description: bacterial LSU rRNA
Rfam family: Bacterial large subunit ribosomal RNA
Source: RNAcentral